RNAcentral lists this ribosomal RNA (795 nucleotides) under uncultured eukaryote. RNAcentral's name for it is "SSU rRNA". It matches the Rfam family "Eukaryotic small subunit ribosomal RNA", at positions 618 to 1439 of the family's 1831-position model. The record is from RNAcentral.
GUUAGAACGCUCGUAGUCAGAUUUCGGGGCGGGCCGACCGGUCUGCCGAUGGGUAUGCACUGGUCGGCGCGUCCUUCCUUCCGGAGACCGUCCCUACUCUUAACUGAGCGGGGGCGGGAGACGGGACUUUUACUUUGAAAAAAUCAGAGUGUUUCAAGCAGGCAGCUCGCUCUUGCAUGGAUUAGCAUGGGAUAAUGAAAUAGGACUUUGGUGCUAUUUUGUUGGUUUCGAACACCGAAGUAAUGAUGAGAAGGGACAGUCAGGGGCACUCGUAUUCCGCCGAGAGAGGUGAAAUUCUCAGACCAGCGGAAGACGAACCACUGCGAAAGCAUUUGCCAGGGAUGUUUUCACUGAUCAAGAACGAAAGUUAGGGGAUCGAAGACGAUCAGAUACCGUCGUAGUCUUAACCAUAAACCAUGCCGACUAGGGAUCGGAGGAUGUUCACAUAUUGACUCCUUCGGCACCUUACGGGAAACUAAAGUCUUUGGGUUCCGGGGGGAGUAUGGUCGCAAGGCUGAAACUUAAAGGAAUUGACGGAAGGGCACCACCAGGUGUGGAGCCUGCGGCUUAAUUUGACUCAACACGGGGAAACUUACCAGGUCCAGACAUUGUGAGGAUUGACAGAUUGAGAGCUCUUUCUUGAUUCGAUGGGUGGUGGUGCAUGGCCGUUCUUAGUUGGUGGAGUGAUUUGUCUGGUUAAUUCCGUUAACGAACGAGACCUUAGCCUGCUAAAUAGUGACGCGAACACUUCGUUCGCGGCCACUUCUUAGAGGGACAACUUGUCUUCAACAAGUG